RNAcentral lists this long non-coding RNA (389 nucleotides) under Urocitellus parryii (Arctic ground squirrel). RNAcentral describes it as "lncRNA (ENSUPAG00010020541.1)". Lineage: Eukaryota; Metazoa; Chordata; Mammalia; Rodentia; Sciuridae. The record is from RNAcentral.
GACGGCAACCCUAAUGGACUUCUGUCCUCUUUAGUCUUGCAACAACUGCAACCCCUGGGCAAGAGUUUCUGGGCAUUUUGGGUACUGUCUUUCUUCUAACCUUUUUUUUUUUUUUAAUUUCACAGGCAGCAGGGAUGCAAGAUUAUGUGAAAAGACCAUCCCUAAGCAGCAGUUUGAGUCAAGCGCUGUGGCUGGAGGGGAUUACCCCAAGAGGUCGCGUCCAGAGUGCCCCUGGUCUGCAAGGGGGGUUGGACAUUCAGAAGUCUGAAGACUCUCCUCUCAUCCUUCAGAAAUCUCUUCUGGAGUUGAAAAUCUUUUCUGGGUUGCACGUUGCAGAGAAAGUGGUAGCUGACAGUUUUGAACUUUUUUUCCUCCAAAAAUCAGGAGCC